This 2681-nucleotide ribosomal RNA is filed under the name activated sludge metagenome. RNAcentral describes it as "bacterial LSU rRNA". It matches the Rfam family "Bacterial large subunit ribosomal RNA". The record is from RNAcentral.
AGGGUGCAUGGUGGAUGCCUAGGCGUCGAGAGGCGAAGAAGGACGUGGUAGGCUGCGAUAAGCUCCGGGGAGCUGUCAAACGAGCAUUGAUCCGGAGAUUUCCGAAUGGGGAAACCCGGCGUCACUCCGCAAGGAGAUGGCGUCACGGCAGGCUGAAUGCAUAGGCCUGUGCGAGCAAACCCAGGGAACUGACACAUCUCAGUACCUGGAGGAAAAGAAAUCAACCGAGAUUCCGUUAGUAGCGGCGAGCGAAAGCGGACCUAGCCCAAACCGGGUUUCGGCCCGGGGUUGCGGAAGCAGAGAGCGGUUACAAAGGCAUUGUUAGCGGAAGUGCUUGGAAAGGCACACCACAGAGGGUGACAGUCCCGUACGCGACAACAACUGCCCCGCGUUACCAUCUGCUCUCCAGAGUAGCACGGAGCUCGUGGAACUCCGUGUGAAGCCGGGGGGCCCACCCUCCAAGGCUAAAUACUACUCGACGACCGAUAGUGAACAAGUAAGGUGACUGAAAGGUGGAAAGAACCCCUACUAGGGGAGUUAUAAGAACCUGAAACCGUGUACCUACAAGCGGUCGGAGCUCGAUGUUCACCUUCGGGUGGACCGAGUGACGGCGUACCUUUUGCAUAAUGGACCGGCGAGUUAUUCUCAGCGGCUUGGUUAAGCACUUCCGGUGCGGAGCCGUAGCGAAAGCGAGUCUGAAAUGGGCGAUAUGUCGCUGGGGAUAGACCCGAAACCAGGUGAUCUACCCAUGGACAGGUUGAAGUGCCCGUAAAAGGGUGCGGAGGACCGAAGCCGUGAACGUUGAAAAGUUCUGGCAUGAGCUGUGGGGAGGAGUAAAAGUCUAAUCAAACCUGGAGAUAUCUGGUUCUCCUCGAAAUGUUUUUUGGAACAGCCUCGGGCCACUACGUCAUGGGGGUAGAGCUACUGAAUGAAACGCGGGAGCCACCAGCUUGCCGCCUUCAAUCAAACUCCGAAUACCAUGACGACUAUCCCGGGAGUGAGUCCACGAGGUCAAUCUCCGUGGACGAAAGGGGAAAAACCCAGCUCGCCUGCUAAGGUCCCCAAUUUACGCUCAGUGCAUAAGGAAGUUUGGCUUCCGAGACAUCGGGGAUGUUGGCUUAGAAGCAGCCACCAUUUAAAAAGUGCGUAACAGCUUACCCGACGAGAAACCAAGCGCCGAUAAUGAUCGGGACUAAGCGUAAAACCGAAGCAGCGGAUUCGUACGGCCUGCGGGCUUGUACGAGUGGUAGAGGAGCGUUGAUCAGCAGAUACGGGCCAUACCGUAAGGAGUGGUGGCGGGCUGAUCAAGUGAUAAUGCCGGUAUGAGUAACGAUAAACCGGGUGUAAUUCCCGGUCGCCGUAAACCUAAGGUUUCCUGGGGAAGGGCAAUCCGCCCAGGGUUAGCCGGAUCCUAAGACCAGGCCGAAAGGCGUAGUCGAUGGACAGCAGGUUAAUAUUCCUGCGCCGCGUCAUGCGGUUGAACCAUGCGUGCGUUUUUCCAAGCUGCAGCCCACCAUGAGACGUGAGGGUUCCCGAGAGGGCACCAGGCGCUUUGUUCCUGGUAGUGCGGGGCGGAAGAACCGAGAAAAGCGUAUGGGGACAAGUGGCGCGUCCGUACUAAAACUGACACAGGUAGGUGAGGCGAGUAGCCUCAGGCGCUCGAGAGAACCGUCCUUAAGGAACUAGGCAAUUUUACCCCGUAACUUCGGGAUAAGGGGUCCCUUUUCCGCUGCAGCAAUGUUGCGGGCGAGGGCGCAGAAAAUCGGCACUGGCGACUGUUUAUCAAAAACACAGGUCUCUGCCAAGUCGCACAGACGACGUAUAGAGACUGACGCCUGCUCGGUGCGGGAAUGUUAAGGAAGCCGGUCAGGGGCAACCCGAAGCUGGCAACCGAAGCACCCGUAAACGGCGGCCCUAACUAUGAGGGUCCUAAGGUAGCGAAAUUCCUUGUCGGGUAAGUUCCGACGCGCAUGAAUGGCGUAACGACUGGUGCACUGUCUCAAGGACGGACUCGGUGAAAUUGGAAUCGUGGUGAAGAUACCACGUACCCGCGGCAAGACGGAAAGACCCCGUGAACCUUUACUGUAGCCUGAUAUUGGCCACGAGUAUCUCAUGCGUAGGAUAGGUGGGAGCCGAUGAAGCGUUGGUUCCGGCCAGGGCAGAGGCAACGUUGAAAUACCACCCUUGGGCUAUUCGUAUCCUAACCUUGACCCGUGAAUCCGGGCAGGGGACAGUGUUAGGUGGGCAGUUUGACUGGGGCGGUCUCCUCCUAAAGCGUAACGGAGGAGCACUAAGGUCGGCUCAGCGCGGUUGGCAAUCGCGCGUCGAGUGCAAGGGCAUAAGCCGGCUUAACUGCGAGACCGACGGGUCGAGCAGAUGCGAAAGCAGGUCCUAGUGAUCCGGUGAUCCCGUGUGGAAGGGUCAUCGCUCAACGGAUAAAAGGUACUCCGGGGAUAACAGGCUGAUCUCCCCCGAGCGUCCAUAGCGGCGGGGAGGUUUGGCACCUCGAUGUCGGCCCAUCGCAUCCUGGGGCUGAAGGCGGUCCCAAGGGUUUGGCUGUUCGCCAAUUAAAGCGGUACGCGAGCUGGGUUCAGACCGGCGUGAGCCAGGUCGGUCCCUAUCUGCCGUGGGCGUACGAGACUUGAGAGGAUAUCUUCCUAGUACGAGAGGAUUGGAAGGUA